Molecule: non-coding RNA, 119 nt
Organism: Pteropus alecto (black flying fox)
Lineage: Eukaryota; Metazoa; Chordata; Mammalia; Chiroptera; Pteropodidae
Source: Rfam
GUCUACGGCCAUGCCACCCCGAACGUGCUCGAUCCCGUCUGAUCUCGGAAGCUAAGCAGGGUCGGGCCCGGUUAGUACUCGGAUGGGAGACCGCCUAGGAAGACCAGGUGCUGGAGGCG